This 253-nucleotide ribosomal RNA is filed under the name uncultured bacterium. Its description in RNAcentral is "partial 16S ribosomal RNA". It matches the Rfam family "Bacterial small subunit ribosomal RNA", at positions 524 to 776 of the family's 1533-position model. The record is from RNAcentral.
CACGUAGGGCGCAAGCGUUGUCCGGAAUUAUUGGGCGUAAAGAGCUCGUAGGCGGUCUGUUGCGUCCGCUGUGAAAACUCGGGGCUUAACCCCGAGCCUGCAGUGGAUACGGGCAGACUAGAGGUAGGUAGGGGAGAAUGGAAUUCCCGGUGUAGCGGUGAAAUGCGCAGAUAUCGGGAGGAACACCGAUGGCGAAGGCAGCCUCCUGGGCCAACACUGACGCUCAUGCACGAAAGCGUGGGGAGCAAACAGG